This 1058-nucleotide ribosomal RNA is filed under the name Amanita simulans. RNAcentral describes it as "partial large subunit ribosomal RNA". It matches the Rfam family "Eukaryotic large subunit ribosomal RNA", at positions 71 to 1091 of the family's 3401-position model. The record is from RNAcentral. Lineage: Eukaryota; Fungi; Basidiomycota; Agaricomycetes; Agaricales; Amanitaceae.
AGGAUUCCCCUAGUAACUGCGAGUGAAGCGGGAAAAGCUCAAAUUUGAAAUCUGGCAGUCUUUUUUUUCUUCUUUGGCUGUCCGAGUUGUAAUCUAGAGAAGUGCUUACCUGCGCUGGACCAUGUAUAAGUCUCCUGGAAUGGAGCGUCACAGAGGGUGAGAAUCCCGUCUUUGACAUGGACUGCCAGUGUGUUGUGGUGUGCUCUCAAAGAGUCGAGUUGUUUGGGAAUGCAGCUCUAAAUGGGUGGUAAACUCCAUCUAAAGCUAAAUAUUGGCGAGAGACCGAUAGUGAACAAGUACCGUGAGGGAAAGAUGAAAAGGACUUUGGAAAGAGAGUUAAACAGUAUGUGAAAUUGUUGAAAGGGAAACGCUUGAAGUCAGUUAUGUUGGCUAGGGAUCAACCUAGCUAAUUUUUUUGCUGGGUGAAUUUCCUAGUCUGACAGGCCAACAUCAGUCUUGACUGCUGGAAAAGAGCAGAGGGAAUGUGGCACCUUUGGGUGUGUUAUAGCCCUUUGUCAUAUGUGGCAGUUGGGACUGAGGGAUGCAGCAUGCCGUGAGGCUGGGUUUUUAACCACGUUCAUGCUUAGGAUGUUGGCUUUUAAUGGCUUCAAUCGACCCGUCUUGAAACACGGACCAAGGAGUCUAACAUGCCUGCGAGUGUUUGGUGGGGAAAACCCUUGUGCACAAUGAAAGUGAAAGUUGAGAUCCCUGUCAUGGGGAGCAUCGACGCCCGGACCUGAGCUUUUAGCGACGGAUCCGCGGUAGAGCAUGCAUGUUGGGACCCGAAAGAUGGUGAACUAUGCCUGAAUAGGGCAAAGCCAGAGGAAACUCUGGUGGAGGCUCGUAGCGAUUCUGACGUGCAAAUCGAUCGUCAAAUUUGGGUAUAGGGGCGAAAGACUAAUCGAACCAUCUAGUAGCUGGUUCCUGCCGAAGUUUCCCUCAGGAUAGCAGAAGCUUAUUAUCAGAUUUAUGUGGUAAAGCGAAUGAUUAGAGGCCUUGGGGUUGAAACAACCUUAACCUAUUCUCAAACUUUAAAUAUGUAAGAACGAGUUGUCACU